RNAcentral lists this ribosomal RNA (468 nucleotides) under uncultured bacterium. Its description in RNAcentral is "partial 16S ribosomal RNA". It matches the Rfam family "Bacterial small subunit ribosomal RNA", at positions 28 to 507 of the family's 1533-position model. The record is from RNAcentral.
GACGAACGCUGGCGGCGUGCUUAACACAUGCAAGUCGAACGGACAGGCCCUGCUUUUGUGGGGUGCUCGAGUGGCGAACGGGUGAGUAACACGUGAGUAACCUGCCCUUGACUUUGGGAUAACUUCAGGAAACUGGGGCUAAUACCGGAUAGGAGCUCCUGCUGCAUGGUGGGGGUUGGAAAGUUUCGGCGGUUGGGGAUGGACUCGCGGCUUAUCAGCUUGUUGGUGGGGUAGUGGCUUACCAAGGCUUUGACGGGUAGCCGGCCUGGGAGGGUGACCAGCCACAUUAGGACUGAGAUACGGCCCAGACUCGUACGGGAGGCAGCAGUGGAGAAUAUUGCACAAUGGGCGGGAGCCUGAUGCAGCAACGCCGCGUGCGGGAUGACGGCCUUCGGGUUGUAAACCGCUUUCGCCUGUGACGAAGCGUGAGUGACGGUAAUGGGUAAAGAAGCACCGGCUAACUACGUG